AUUAGAUAGAAGAAAGAUUCUCUCUGUGAGCUCGUCUCUUCCUUACUGUUCUUGUUCAAGAUGCCCACAGAUACAACCUAUCAAUGCGAGGCAUGGCUGAGUGAAGGUGAAGACAUGGAUCAUUCUUUGCCAGAAGCAGAGUUCUUGAUCCAAAUAUAUUCCCACAUUAUUCCUUUCGAUUCAACAGAAGCAGGUACCAGCAGUGCCGAUGUUACGAUCUUGAAAGAAUUUCGAGUGAAAAGGGAACAUCUAAUACAUGACACCACUUCUUGGUACACCAUAAUGACCAUGCUUUCAGAGAUGAACAUGCCUUUAUAUGUUCAUCCCAUAAUGAUACAGAAAAUAGCAGAAUGCGCACAAGAAAGUCGAGACUUGGACCGAAAGGUUAUUCCUAUGGUUGUGCAUCUAAGGACUAUACAAUAUACAGGUACUGAUGAGGCUGGUGCUUUCCUGGAGUCUUUCAACUCGCAGGGCUUGAGAUUCGUUGGCGUUAGCAGGUCAGCGAUUGAAGCAUUAGAGAAGAUAAAAAUUAAUAAAGAUUCUUCGAAGCAAUGCGUGAUAUGCUUGGAAGACAUUUCGAUUGGGAUGGAAGCUACCCGCUUGCCAUGUUCGCACAUCUAUCAUGGAAGUUGCGUAAAAAAUUGGCUGGAGAAUAGUAAUCUUUGCCCACUCUGUAGGUUUCUGGUACCCAGUUGAGUCAAUUAAUUAGUAGUUUAGUACGAUUUUGGCUUUGGAUAGAAAGUCAUGAGUAAUGUUAUUAGUUUCAUUCCUUUUCCUCCUUUUCUCCUACUGAUUCUUGAGAUAACUUGUACUUGGUGAAGAAUUUAAACAAGGAAU
RNAcentral lists this unclassified non-coding RNA (837 nucleotides) under Hevea brasiliensis (rubber tree). Lineage: Eukaryota; Viridiplantae; Streptophyta; Magnoliopsida; Malpighiales; Euphorbiaceae. The record is from RNAcentral.